CGGUAAUUCCAGCUCCAAUAGCGUAUACUAAAGUUGUUGCAGUUAAAAAGCUCGUAGUUGGAUUUCUGCGGGGACGGAGCGGCCGGACGCAACUUGCGUCUCGAGCUAGCGCUUUCCCCACAUCCUGCCGCGAACCGUGCUACCAUUAGUUUGGUGGCGCUGGGGAUCGGCUCGAUUACUUUGAGAAAAAUAGAGUGUUCAAAGCAGGCCACACGCCUUGAAUAAGUUAGCAUGGAAUAAUGACUAAGGACUUUGGUUCUUUUCGUUGGUGUUCGGGACUGAAGUAAUGAUUGAUAGGGACAGUUGGGGCGGUCCGUAUUCCAAAGCGAGAGGUGAAAUUCUUAGACCUUCGGAAGACGAACAGCUGCGAAAGCGUUCCGCAAGGAUGUUCCCUUUGAUCAAGAACGAAAGUUGGGGGAUCGAAGACGAUCAGAUACCGUCGUAGUCUCAACUAUAAACUAUACCAGCUAGGGAUCGGCCAACGUUUAAUUAUUCGACUUGGUCGGCACCUUAUGAGAAAUCAAAGCAUCUGGGUUCCGGGGGGAGUAUGGUCGCAAGGCUGAAACUUAAAGGAAUUGACGGAAGGGCACCACCAGGCGUGGAGCCUGUGGCUUAAUUUGACUCAACACGGGAAAACUUACCAGGUCCAGACAUAGGAAGGAUUGACAGAUUGAUAGCUCUUUCUUGAUUCUGUGGGUGGUGGUGCAUGGCCGUUUUUAGUCGGUGAAGUGAUUUGUCUGCUUAAUUGCGUUAACGGACGAGACCCCAGCCUGCUAAAUAGCGCGGUCGAGCUUUGCUCGGCACGAGCUUCUUAGAGGGACCAUGAUGCGCGAUAGCACAAGGAAGUUUGGGGCAACAACAGGUCUGUGAUGCCCUUAGAUGUUCUGGGCCACACACGGGCUACACUGGCGCCUGCAACGAGCAUAUCAGCUGGCCCGAGAGGGUCUUGGCUAAUCUUUGGAACCGGCGCCGUGCUUGGGAUUGACCAUUGCAAUUGUUGGUCAUGCAACGAGGAAUGCCUUGUAAACGCGAGUCAUCAGCUCGCAUUGAAUACGUCCCUGCUCCUUGUACACACCGCCC
RNAcentral lists this ribosomal RNA (1080 nucleotides) under uncultured Rhizaria. RNAcentral describes it as "SSU rRNA". It matches the Rfam family "Eukaryotic small subunit ribosomal RNA", at positions 577 to 1674 of the family's 1831-position model. The record is from RNAcentral.